RNAcentral lists this ribosomal RNA (479 nucleotides) under Streptococcus mitis. RNAcentral's name for it is "bacterial SSU rRNA". It matches the Rfam family "Bacterial small subunit ribosomal RNA", at positions 28 to 491 of the family's 1533-position model. The record is from RNAcentral. Lineage: Bacteria; Bacillati; Bacillota; Bacilli; Lactobacillales; Streptococcaceae.
GACGAACGCUGGCGGCGUGCCUAAUACAUGCAAGUAGAACGCUGAAGGAGGAGCUUGCUUCUCCGGAUGAGUUGCGAACGGGUGAGUAACGCGUAGGUAACCUGCCUGGUAGCGGGGGAUAACUAUUGGAAACGAUAGCUAAUACCGCAUAAGAGUAGAUGUUGCAUGACAUUUGCUUAAAAGGUGCAAUUGCAUCACUACCAGAUGGACCUGCGUUGUAUUAGCUAGUUGGUGGGGUAACGGCUCACCAAGGCGACGAUACAUAGCCGACCUGAGAGGGUGAUCGGCCACACUGGGACUGAGACACGGCCCAGACUCCUACGGGAGGCAGCAGUAGGGAAUCUUCGGCAAUGGACGGAAGUCUGACCGAGCAACGCCGCGUGAGUGAAGAAGGUUUUCGGAUCGUAAAGCUCUGUUGUAAGAGAAGAACGAGUGUGAGAGUGGAAAGUUCACACUGUGACGGUAUCAUACCAGAAAGG